RNAcentral lists this ribosomal RNA (253 nucleotides) under uncultured bacterium. RNAcentral's name for it is "partial 16S ribosomal RNA". It matches the Rfam family "Bacterial small subunit ribosomal RNA", at positions 524 to 776 of the family's 1533-position model. The record is from RNAcentral.
UACGAAGGGUGCAAACGUUGCUCGGAAUCAUUGGGCGUAAAGCGCACGUAGGCGGCCUCAUAAGUCGGAUGUGAAAUCCCUCGGCUCAACCGAGGACGUGCAUUCGAAACUGCGAGGCUCGAGUAUGGAAGAGGGUCGCGGAAUUCCCGGUGUAGAGGUGAAAUUCGUAGAUAUCGGGAGGAACACCAGUGGCGAAGGCGGCGACCUGGGCCAAUACUGACGCUGAGGUGCGAAAGCGUGGGGAGCAAACAGG